This is a small nuclear RNA of Nymphaea colorata (pocket water lily), 107 nucleotides long. NCBI's taxonomy places the organism in Eukaryota, Viridiplantae, Streptophyta, Magnoliopsida, Nymphaeales, Nymphaeaceae. The record is from RefSeq and is a predicted model, not a curated record.
GUUUUCUCUUCCAAAACAUCCAAUAAAAUUGGAACGACAGAGAGAAGAUUAGCAAGGCUGUUGAGCAAGGAUGACUGUUCUCAGUCUCAGCCAUGUGAAAGAGGUUU